This is a non-coding RNA of Bos taurus (domestic cattle), 71 nucleotides long. NCBI's taxonomy places the organism in Eukaryota, Metazoa, Chordata, Mammalia, Artiodactyla, Bovidae. The record is from Rfam.
UCCCAGGUGGCUCAGUGGUAAACAAUCUGCCUCUAAUGCAGGAGACCCAGGUUCAAUCCCUGGAUUGGGAA